Loxodonta africana (African savanna elephant) is the source of this 2337-nucleotide long non-coding RNA. RefSeq lists it as uncharacterized. The transcript has 3 exons. The record is from RefSeq and is a predicted model, not a curated record. Lineage: Eukaryota; Metazoa; Chordata; Mammalia; Proboscidea; Elephantidae.
GCCUGAGCAGGGCACAGGCCUAGAGCCAGAGAGAGGUAUGCCUGUGAGCACAGCUGAAAAGACGCUGUCCUGAUGGAAGAACUGUAUGCUGAGCAUUUCUGAGCCUGAAAUGCAACCUGUUACUUCCUUAAUAAACCCAAUAACCAUCUACCCAGGGGACUUAAACCUGAACUGAAGAAGGAUCUCAAGUGUUGGAGGGACCAGUCCCUGGAGAAGGACAUCAUGCUUGAUAAAGUGGAGAGUCAGCGGAAAAAAAGGAAGACCCUCAAUGAGACGGAUUAACACAGUGGCUGCAACAAUGACCUCCAGCAUAACAACGAUUGUGAGGAUGGUGCAAGACCAGACAGUGUUUCGUUGUAUUGUACAUAUAUGGUCACUAUGAGUCGGAACAGACUCCAUGGCACCUAACUGCAACAAUACCUUCAUCUUUAGCCUCAGCUUUUCUCAAUAUUUUAACAUGCUUCUGUUAGGAAACGGUGACCGUUAAUCCUAUUUUAGAGAUACAGGGACUGAUUGAGGCUCAGAGGUGUUCAGUGAGUUGUCCACAUUACACAGCAGGCAAGUAAUGAAAUGAAGAUAUCUACUCAGCCUUCUGCCCCAAAUAUGUAGGGUAUUCUACACGAUAUUGCCUCUUGAGGUGGCAGCUCUAAUCAUUUUACUUCCUCGUCCCUGACGCCUCAACCUCAAAUGUUCAAUUUCGUAUAGCGAAGAAAUUUCAAACUCCUUGGCACAUAUUCAAGGCUCCCCCAAUCUCAACUCACUUGAUAGUUAUGGUCUAGUGAACACCCAGAAGUUACAGAAUAUAUUAUGAGCAUUUAAAAUUGCUUUUAAGUAUAACAAUAAGGUGAACCCAACAAAUAACUCAUACCAUGUACCGAACCUAAACUUUUGUCAGACACGGCACUAGAUGCUUUUCAUGGACAAUCUCUAGUCCUCAUGAAAAUUUACAACUUAAUUCUAAUAAUCGUUACAUGAUAAGUGAGGAAACCAAUAGGUUAAGUCCCUUGAUGAAAGUUACACAGCUAGAUACUGUGGAACUAUGAUUCCAACUCAGGGCACUCAGACAUAAAGGCCACUGUUACUAUAUUUGGUCUUUUUAAAUGUGACACUGGUAUGAAGGUCAUUGUUAUGGACUGAACUGUGUCCACCCCACCAAAAGUUAUGUUGAAGUCCUAAACCCUGUACCUAUAAAUAUGACCCUUUUUCGAGAUAAGGGUUUUCUUUUGUUAUGUUAAUAAGGCCCUACUGGAGUAGGGUGGGUACUGUACCUAAUCCCUUCUGAGCAAUGUCUUAUAAUACGAGCAGAAUAGACACAUACACACAGAGAGAAGAGAUCAUUGAGAAAUUGUCUACAAGCCAAGGAAUGCCAAGAACCGUGAUUAUCAAUAAGGAGAGACCUACCCCUAGCGCUGAUACCUUGAUUUGGAUGUCUAGCUUCCAAAAGUAUGAGGCAAUAUCUAUCUGUUCCUUGAAGCUACUCAUUUGUGAUAUUUUUGUUACAGCAACACUAGAUAACUAAGAUAGUAAUAUUCUUUCAAUCUUUUCUUCAAAAUCUUUCAAAAUUUCACUUUCUCCCUUUGAUUCCCACCUAACUUUGUUUAGUACAUGGGGUCACAGAAGUUCUUGAGGUUAAAUAAGUCAUUGUGGUUUUAGGUCAUGUCUCUGAAAGAGAAAUUUAUUAAUGAGUUCUUUGAGGAGUCAGAGUACUUUGGGCCCUGAUUCUGAGUGUUUUCAUUUGUGUUCAAGGGGCAGUCAUUCAUUGUCUCCUGAAGGAACAUGAAAAUCGUGUAUAAGUUUCCAGUAGGUAAAUGUUUACUGUGGCAUCUUUGUCAUUGGCUUGAGGUAAAAACAAGGAGAUGGAGGGGAAUCAGGUUAGUCACUCCGGGAGAAAACGUCUGUGAAGAAAGUCCCUGUCUCUAAGCCCAAUAUGUUCCAACCUUGACAUUUUUUAGAAUCCUGUCAGCUUUGGAUCAACAUAAAAAUGCCAUCACUCAAAAUACUCCUUCUUAAGAAUGUGAAUAGAGUAUAUUCCUUCUCAUUCAGCUCUUAUCCCUGGUGUGGACUGUGUUACUCAGUAUCUGUGUUAGCUCAGUAUCUUCUCUUUCCUUAAGUGGAGGCUGUUCCAGGUGACUGUUCCCAUUCUCGGUAUUCCUGGUUGAGGACACGGAUGUUACAUUAGAAAGUUAUUUAAAAACAAAACAAAACUAAUAAUAAGCAAGGCGCCACUAGUCUCGAACUGAAUGUCUCAUUUGCCUGCGAAAAUGCUGAUGCAUUUCAGGAACCAAUAAUUAGUGAAGGACAUUAAGUUCUCCGUUUUAUUUAAAUGUAGAUUUCUCA